This 332-nucleotide ribosomal RNA is filed under the name Clostridioides difficile. RNAcentral describes it as "partial 23S ribosomal RNA". It matches the Rfam family "Bacterial large subunit ribosomal RNA", at positions 1 to 335 of the family's 2925-position model. Lineage: Bacteria; Bacillati; Bacillota; Clostridia; Peptostreptococcales; Peptostreptococcaceae. The record is from RNAcentral.
GGUCAAGUUAUUAAGGGUGCAGGGCGGAUGCCUUGGCACUAGGAGCCGAUGAAGGACGUGAUAAGCUGCGAUAAGCUUCGGGGAGUUGCACGUAAACUUUGAUCCGAAGAUUUCCGAAUGAGGAAACUCACUUAGAGUAAUGUCUAAGUAUCAUUAAGUGAAUACAUAGCUUAAUGAGGGGAACUCAGGGAACUGAAACAUCUAAGUACCUGAAGGAAGAGAAAGAAAUUCGAUUCCGUAAGUAGCGGCGAGCGAACGCGGAUUAGCCCAAACCAAUAAAGUUUUCUUUAUUGGGGUUGCGGACAUAUCAUAACGAAGAGGUAUCGUAAUUG